This 1461-nucleotide ribosomal RNA is filed under the name uncultured bacterium. RNAcentral describes it as "bacterial SSU rRNA". It matches the Rfam family "Bacterial small subunit ribosomal RNA". The record is from RNAcentral.
AUUGAACGCUGGCGGCAGGCUUAACACAUGCAAGUCGAGCGGUAACAGAGGUAGCUUGCUAUCUGCUGACGAGCGGCGGACGGGUGAGUAAUGCUUGGGAAUAUACCUUUAGGUGGGGGACAACAGUUGGAAACGACUGCUAAUACCGCAUAAUGUCUACGGACCAAAGGAGGGGAUGCUUCGGCACCUUUCGCCUUUAGAUUAGCCCAAGUGAGAUUAGCUAGAUGGUGAGGUAAUGGCUCACCAUGGCGACGAUCUCUAGCUGGUUUGAGAGGAUGAUCAGCCACACUGGGACUGAGACACGGCCCAGACUCCUACGGGAGGCAGCAGUGGGGAAUAUUGCACAAUGGGCGCAAGCCUGAUGCAGCCAUACCGCGUGUGUGAAGAAGGCUCUAGGGUUGUAAAGCACUUUCAGCGAGGAGGAAAGGUUGGUAGUUAAUAACUGCUAGCUGUGACGUUACUCGCAGAAGAAGGACCGGCUAACUCCGUGCCAGCAGCCGCGGUAAUACGGAGGGUCCGAGCGUUAAUCGGAAUUACUGGGCGUAAAGCGUACGUAGGUGGUUUGUUAAGUUGGAUGUGAAAGCCCAGGGCUCAACCUUGGAACUGCAUUCAAAACUGGCGAACUAGAGUAUGGUAGAGGUGAGUGGAAUUUCCUGUGUAGCGGUGAAAUGCGUAGAGAUGGGAAAGGAACAUCAGUGGCGAAAGCGACUCACUGGACCAAUACUGACACUGAGUACGAAAGCGUGGUAGCAAACAGGAUUAGAUACCCUGGUAGUCCACGCCGUAACGAUGUCUACUAGCCGUUGGGAUCCUUGAGAUCUUAGUGGCGCAGCUAACGCACUAAGUAGACCGCCUGGGGAGUACGGUCGCAAGAUUAAAACUCAAAUGAAUUGACGGGGGCCCGCACAAGCGGUGGAGCAUGUGGUUUAAUUCGAAGCAACGCGAAGAACCUUACCUACUCUUGACAUCCACAGAACUUUUCAGAGAUGAAUUGGUGCCUUCGGGAACUGUGAGACAGGUGCUGCAUGGCUGUCGUCAGCUCGUGUUGUGAAAUGUUGGGUUAAGUCCCGUAACGAGCGCAACCCUUGUCCUUAGUUACCAUCAUUUAGUUGGGUACUCUAAGGAGACUGCCGGUGACAAACCGGAGGAAGGCGGGGACGACGUCAAGUCAUCAUGGCCCUCACGAGUAGGGCUACACACGUGCUACAAUGGCCAGUACAAACGGUUGCGAACCCGCGAGGGGAAGCUAAUCUGAGAAAGCUGGUCGUAGUCCGGAUCGGAGUCUGCAACUCGACUCCGUGAAGUCGGAAUCGCUAGUAAUCGUGAAUCAGAAUGUCACGGUGAAUACGUUCCCGGGCCUUGUACACACCGCCCGUCACACCAUGGGAGUGGGUUGCUCCAGAAGUAAAUAGCUUAACCUUCGGGAGGGCGUUUACCACGGAGUGAUUCAUGACUGGGGUG